Molecule: transfer RNA, 74 nt
Filed under: Chrysochir aurea (Reeve's croaker)
Lineage: Eukaryota; Metazoa; Chordata; Actinopteri; Sciaenidae
Description: tRNA-Leu
Rfam family: tRNA
About the family: Transfer RNA (tRNA) molecules are approximately 80 nucleotides in length. Their secondary structure includes four short double-helical elements and three loops (D, anti-codon, and T loops). Further hydrogen bonds mediate the characteristic L-shaped molecular structure. tRNAs have two regions of fundamental functional importance: the anti-codon, which is responsible for specific mRNA codon recognition, and the 3' end, to which the tRNAs corresponding amino acid is attached (by aminoacyl-tRNA synthetases). tRNAs cope with the degeneracy of the genetic code in two manners: having more than one tRNA (with a specific anti-codon) for a particular amino acid; and 'wobble' base-pairing, i.e. permitting non-standard base-pairing at the 3rd anti-codon position.
Source: RNAcentral
GUUAAGGUGGCAGAAGCCGGUUAUUGCAAAAGAUCUAAGCCCUUUCCACGGAGGUUCAAGUCCUCCCCUUAACU